CCCGCUCAUCAUCUUGUAAAUAGUCGCAAUAAUAUCACCUUCUUUUCCAAUAAAUUCGUCACAUCUUAAACACUUUUUUCUUAUUGCCGUUUUACAUCUUUCAUUAUAAAGAUAUUUCAAUUCCAAAUUACAAUACAUAUAAAAGACGUUUGGUCAGAUCAUAGAUGGUAUUACAUCUGUGGUCAGAUAAAUGUAAUAUCACCCCAGAGCAUGCAGAGUGUAACACCUUCACUGAUUUUAACAUGCUAAAACAUUAAUUUAAAACUGAUAAAAAGUUUCAUUGCCGUUCCCUCUUAAAGGACGCUGUCACAAUGGAAUUUCUUUAAAUAAUUGUUAUCAUGUUUUAUGUAUACAAACC
This 358-nucleotide long non-coding RNA is filed under the name Mytilus galloprovincialis (Mediterranean mussel). The record is from RNAcentral. Lineage: Eukaryota; Metazoa; Mollusca; Bivalvia; Mytilida; Mytilidae.